Non-coding RNA from Prauserella sp. Am3, 57 nucleotides. NCBI's taxonomy places the organism in Bacteria, Bacillati, Actinomycetota, Actinomycetes, Pseudonocardiales, Pseudonocardiaceae. The record is from Rfam.
GCCGGUCCUCGGUAGUGGCUCUCGGGAGUUUCCCGAGGGCUUCGAUCGAUGGCCGGC